AACGAACGCUGGCGGCAGGCCUAACACAUGCAAGUCGAACGCCGUAGCAAUACGGAGUGGCAGACGGGUGAGUAACACGUGGGAACGUACCCUUCGGUUCGGGAUAACUCAGGGAAACUUGAGCUAAUACCGGAUACGUCCGAGAGGAGAAAGAUUUAUUGCCGAGGGAUCGGCCCGCGUCUGAUUAGCUUGUUGGUGAGGUAACGGCUCACCAAGGCGACGAUCAGUAGCUGGUCNGAGAGGAUGAU
RNAcentral lists this ribosomal RNA (248 nucleotides) under uncultured bacterium. RNAcentral describes it as "partial 16S ribosomal RNA". It matches the Rfam family "Bacterial small subunit ribosomal RNA", at positions 29 to 304 of the family's 1533-position model. The record is from RNAcentral.